GUGGACGCCAGUCUGCGUGGAGCCGACCUUGAAAUACCACCCUUUAAUGUUUGAUGUUCUAACGUGGACCCGUAAUCCGGGUUGCGGACAGUGUCUGGUGGGUAGUUUGACUGGGGCGGUCUCCUCCUAAAGAGUAACGGAGGAGCACGAAGGUUGGCUAAUCCUGGUCGGACAUCAGGAGGUUAGUGCAAUGGCAUAAGCCAGCUUGACUGCGAGCGUGACGGCGCGAGCAGGUGCGAAAGCAGGUCAUAGUGAUCCGGUGGUUCUGAAUGGAAGGGCCAUCGCUCAACGGAUAAAAGGUACUCCGGGGAUAACAGGCUGAUACCGCCCAAGAGUUCAUAUCGACGGCGGUGUUUGGCACCUCGAUGUCGGCUCAUCACAUCCUGGGGCUGAAGUAGGUCCCAAGGGUAUGGCUGUUCGCCAUUUAAAGUGGUACGCGAGCUGGGUUUAGAACGUCGUGAGACAGUUCGGUCCCUAUCUGCCGUGGGCGCUGGAGAACUGAGGGGGGCUGCUCCUAGUACGAGAGGACCGGAGUGGACGCAUCACUGGUGUUCGGGUUGUCAUGCCAAUGGCACUGCCCGGUAGCUAAAUGCGGAAGAGAUAAGUGCUGAAAGCAUCUAAGCACGAAACUUGCCCCGAGAUGAGUUCUCCCUGAGACUUUAGGUCUCCUGAAGGAACGUUGAAGACGACGACGUUGAUAGGCCGGGUGUGUAAGCGCAGCGAUGCGUUGAGCUAACCGGUACUAAUGAACCGUGAGGCUUAACCUUACA
Molecule: ribosomal RNA, 770 nt
Filed under: Salmonella enterica
Lineage: Bacteria; Pseudomonadati; Pseudomonadota; Gammaproteobacteria; Enterobacterales; Enterobacteriaceae
Description: partial 23S ribosomal RNA
Rfam family: Bacterial large subunit ribosomal RNA
Source: RNAcentral